UUAAGCGACUAAGCGUACACGGUGGAUGCCCUGGCAGUCAGAGGCGAUGAAGGACGUGCUAAUCUGCGAUAAGCGUCGGUAAGGUGAUAUGAACCGUUAUAACCGGCGAUUUCCGAAUGGGGAAACCCAGUGUGUUUCGACACACUAUCAUUAACUGAAUCCAUAGGUUAAUGAGGCGAACCGGGGGAACUGAAACAUCUAAGUACCCCGAGGAAAAGAAAUCAACCGAGAUUCCCCCAGUAGCGGCGAGCGAACGGGGAGCAGCCCAGAGCCUGAAUCAGUGUGUGUGUUAGUGGAAGCGUCUGGAAAGGCGCGCGAUACAGGGUGACAGCCCCGUACACAAAAAUGCACAUGCUGUGAGCUCGAUGAGUAGGGCGGGACACGUGGUAUCCUGUCUGAAUAUGGGGGGACCAUCCUCCAAGGCUAAAUACUCCUGACUGACCGAUAGUGAACCAGUACCGUGAGGGAAAGGCGAAAAGAACCCCGGCGAGGGGAGUGAAAAAGAACCUGAAACCGUGUACGUACAAGCAGUGGGAGCCUCUUUAUGGGGUGACUGCGUACCUUUUGUAUAAUGGGUCAGCGACUUAUAUUCUGUAGCAAGGUUAACCGAAUAGGGGAGCCGAAGGGAAACCGAGUCUUAACUGGGCGUUAAGUUGCAGGGUAUAGACCCGAAACCCGGUGAUCUAGCCAUGGGCAGGUUGAAGGUUGGGUAACACUAACUGGAGGACCGAACCGACUAAUGUUGAAAAAUUAGCGGAUGACUUGUGGCUGGGGGUGAAAGGCCAAUCAAACCGGGAGAUAGCUGGUUCUCCCCGAAAGCUAUUUAGGUAGCGCCUCGUGAAUUCAUCUCCGGGGGUAGAGCACUGUUUCGGCAAGGGGGUCAUCCCGACUUACCAACCCGAUGCAAACUGCGAAUACCGGAGAAUGUUAUCACGGGAGACACACGGCGGGUGCUAACGUCCGUCGUGAAGAGGGAAACAACCCAGACCGCCAGCUAAGGUCCCAAAGUCAUGGUUAAGUGGGAAACGAUGUGGGAAGGCCCAGACAGCCAGGAUGUUGGCUUAGAAGCAGCCAUCAUUUAAAGAAAGCGUAAUAGCUCACUGGUCGAGUCGGCCUGCGCGGAAGAUGUAACGGGGCUAAACCAUGCACCGAAGCUGCGGCAGCGACACUAUGUGUUGUUGGGUAGGGGAGCGUUCUGUAAGCCUGUGAAGGUGUGCUGUGAGGUAUGCUGGAGGUAUCAGAAGUGCGAAUGCUGACAUAAGUAACGAUAAAGCGGGUGAAAAGCCCGCUCGCCGGAAGACCAAGGGUUCCUGUCCAACGUUAAUCGGGGCAGGGUGAGUCGACCCCUAAGGCGAGGCCGAAAGGCGUAGUCGAUGGGAAACAGGUUAAUAUUCCUGUACUUGGUGUUACUGCGAAGGGGGGACGGAGAAGGCUAUGUUGGCCGGGCGACGGUUGUCCCGGUUUAAGCGUGUAGGCUGGUUUUCCAGGCAAAUCCGGAAAAUCAAGGCUGAGGCGUGAUGACGAGGCACUACGGUGCUGAAGCAACAAAUGCCCUGCUUCCAGGAAAAGCCUCUAAGCAUCAGGUAACAUCAAAUCGUACCCCAAACCGACACAGGUGGUCAGGUAGAGAAUACCAAGGCGCUUGAGAGAACUCGGGUGAAGGAACUAGGCAAAAUGGUGCCGUAACUUCGGGAGAAGGCACGCUGAUGUGUAGGUGAAGCGACUUGCUCGUGGAGCUGAAAUCAGUCGAAGAUACCAGCUGGCUGCAACUGUUUAUUAAAAACACAGCACUGUGCAAACACGAAAGUGGACGUAUACGGUGUGACGCCUGCCCGGUGCCGGAAGGUUAAUUGAUGGGGUCAGCCGCAAGGCGAAGCUCUUGAUCGAAGCCCCGGUAAACGGCGGCCGUAACUAUAACGGUCCUAAGGUAGCGAAAUUCCUUGUCGGGUAAGUUCCGACCUGCACGAAUGGCGUAAUGAUGGCCAGGCUGUCUCCACCCGAGACUCAGUGAAAUUGAACUCGCUGUGAAGAUGCAGUGUACCCGCGGCAAGACGGAAAGACCCCGUGAACCUUUACUAUAGCUUGACACUGAACAUUGAGCCUUGAUGUGUAGGAUAGGUGGGAGGCUUUGAAGCGUGGACGCCAGUCUGCGUGGAGCCGACCUUGAAAUACCACCCUUUAAUGUUUGAUGUUCUAACGUGGACCCGUGAUCCGGGUUGCGGACAGUGUCUGGUGGGUAGUUUGACUGGGGCGGUCUCCUCCUAAAGAGUAACGGAGGAGCACGAAGGUUGGCUAAUCCUGGUCGGACAUCAGGAGGUUAGUGCAAUGGCAUAAGCCAGCUUGACUGCGAGCGUGACGGCGCGAGCAGGUGCGAAAGCAGGUCAUAGUGAUCCGGUGGUUCUGAAUGGAAGGGCCAUCGCUCAACGGAUAAAAGGUACUCCGGGGAUAACAGGCUGAUACCGCCCAAGAGUUCAUAUCGACGGCGGUGUUUGGCACCUCGAUGUCGGCUCAUCACAUCCUGGGGCUGAAGUAGGUCCCAAGGGUAUGGCUGUUCGCCAUUUAAAGUGGUACGCGAGCUGGGUUUAGAACGUCGUGAGACAGUUCGGUCCCUAUCUGCCGUGGGCGCUGGAGAACUGAGGGGGGCUGCUCCUAGUACGAGAGGACCGGAGUGGACGCAUCACUGGUGUUCGGGUUGUCAUGCCAAUGGCACUGCCCGGUAGCUAAAUGCGGAAGAGAUAAGUGCUGAAAGCAUCUAAGCACGAAACUUGCCCCGAGAUGAGUUCUCCCUGACUCCUUGAGAGUCCUGAAGGAACGUUGAAGACGACGACGUUGAUAGGCCGGGUGUGUAAGCGCAGCGAUGCGUUGAGCUAACCGGUACUAAUGAACCGUGAGGCUUAACCUU
This 2902-nucleotide ribosomal RNA is filed under the name Escherichia sp. KTE31. Its description in RNAcentral is "bacterial LSU rRNA". It matches the Rfam family "Bacterial large subunit ribosomal RNA". Lineage: Bacteria; Pseudomonadati; Pseudomonadota; Gammaproteobacteria; Enterobacterales; Enterobacteriaceae. The record is from RNAcentral.